Molecule: long non-coding RNA, 290 nt
Organism: Penaeus monodon (black tiger shrimp)
Lineage: Eukaryota; Metazoa; Arthropoda; Malacostraca; Decapoda; Penaeidae
Exons: 3
Source: RefSeq, a predicted model, not a curated record
AUCUCAGGAGUGUUAGUCUUCAAGUUUAUUUUAUGUCUCCAGCUGCCGCUUGGAUGUCCUGCUACUUCAGAUAUUAAUAGAAGUAUUUCGUCAGCGCCCUCAAGCCGCUAGCAAGAAGCAAGCGAACUGUCUGGCUCGAUGCCGUUGCAAUCAAUUCCUGAAAGGUGCGGCUGUUCUGGGUGAAGCAGAGGUUAAAGCCAGAGCUGGUGAGAGCAGAGUCUGAGGUAAACGUGACGAGGAUGUAAUUGCUCAGGAUUGUGUACUCUGUGUCCGCAGCGAUGGAUCCGGAU